AAAAAAGUGACCUAUGCUUUUUCGUCUCUCUACGGCAACAAAACUCCUCACGGACCACGCUCCUGCGCACGUUAGUCAACUUCCAAUUACUUUGCGCCUAACUUCGUUCUCCAAAUAGGCCGCUGGCCUUCCACACGCGCUUCUAGUACUUGUGAUGCCUACGUUUCUGCCACUGCCACUGCCAUUGCCAUGCAUGAACCCCUGGAGUUUUCGUUUCAAUCUGCCCCCCUCUCUCGGUCCUCGUAUCAUCCUUAAUUUGAGGGUUUCUUCUUGAUUCUGAAUUCAGUGUUUUCAGUUCCAAAGUUUGCAACUUUGAAGCUUCAACUGCAAAAACAAGUCUUUCUUGUAUCAUCUUCAACUGUCAAUUUGGGGUUUUAGUCAUCAAUUACAUUUUCUUUGGAUCUUUGAUUAGGUUUAAGCUUCUCUUUUAGCUGCAUAUUCUUGCUUCUUGAUUCUUGAUUGACACGUUUGCAGAUAAAAAAUCUUUCUUUGUUAUUCUCCAUUUCAACUGCAUAUGCAAAGGCCA
Molecule: unclassified non-coding RNA, 526 nt
Filed under: Hevea brasiliensis (rubber tree)
Lineage: Eukaryota; Viridiplantae; Streptophyta; Magnoliopsida; Malpighiales; Euphorbiaceae
Source: RNAcentral